AAAGCCACCCUACAGGGGGGAUGAGAACCCCCGACCGGGGUUCGACAACUGGCGCAGCCAGUUGGACAGACGACGAGCCUGCGAGGAGACUGCCCGAAGGGCGAGCGCAGCGAGUCAAUCCCCCCUCACCGCCA
This 134-nucleotide small RNA is filed under the name Salmonella enterica. RNAcentral's name for it is "RtT sRNA". It matches the Rfam family "RtT RNA". Rfam says of the family: This family represents a bacterial cis-regulatory element known as RtT RNA. The exact function of RtT is unknown although it is thought that it may be involved in changing the cellular response in relation to amino acid starvation. RNAcentral also lists the same sequence under 1 other name. The record is from RNAcentral. Lineage: Bacteria; Pseudomonadati; Pseudomonadota; Gammaproteobacteria; Enterobacterales; Enterobacteriaceae.